RNAcentral lists this ribosomal RNA (402 nucleotides) under Verrucomicrobiota bacterium. Its description in RNAcentral is "Verrucomicrobia bacterium partial 16S ribosomal RNA". It matches the Rfam family "Bacterial small subunit ribosomal RNA", at positions 355 to 776 of the family's 1533-position model. Lineage: Bacteria; Pseudomonadati; Verrucomicrobiota. The record is from RNAcentral.
UGGGGAAUUUUGCACAAUGUGGGAAACCCUGAUGCAGCGACGCCGCGUGAUUUAGAAGGCCUUCGGGUUGUAAAAAUCUUUUCUAUGGGAAGAAAAUGACAGUACCAUAGGAAUAAGGACCGGCUAAUUACGUGCCAGCAGCCGCGGUAAUACGUAAGGUCCGAGCGUUGUCCGGAAUCAUUGGGCGUAAAGGGUACGUAGGCGGGUAAGCAAGUUAGAAGUGAAAUCCUAUAGCUCAACUAUAGUAAGCUUUUAAAACUGCUCAUCUUGAGGUAUGGAAGGGAAAGUGGAAUUCCUAGUGUAGCGGUGAAAUGCGCAGAUAUUAGGAGGAAUACCGGUGGCGAAGGCGACUUUCUGGCCAUAUACUGACGCUGAGGUACGAAAGCGUGGGUAGCAAACAGG